GUUGGGCACUCUAGCGAGACUGCCGGUAAUAAACCGGAGGAAGGUGGGGAUGACGUCAAAUCAUCAUGCCCCUUAUGACCUGGGCUACACACGUGCUACAAUGGUUGGUACAACGAGUUGCGAGUCGGUGACGGCGAGCUAAUCUCUUAAAGCCAAUCUCAGUUCGGAUUGUAGGCUGCAACUCGCCUACAUGAAGUCGGAAUCGCUAGUAACCGCGGAUCAGCACGCCGCGGUAAAUACGUUCCCGGGCCUU
Molecule: ribosomal RNA, 253 nt
Filed under: uncultured Streptococcus sp.
Lineage: Bacteria; Bacillati; Bacillota; Bacilli; Lactobacillales; Streptococcaceae
Description: partial 16S ribosomal RNA
Rfam family: Bacterial small subunit ribosomal RNA
Source: RNAcentral